GGUUGUGGCUCGGCGGUAGAGCACUCACCUAGCAAGUGCGAGACCCUGGGUUCAAUCCUUGGCACCA
RNAcentral lists this transfer RNA (67 nucleotides) under Marmota monax (woodchuck). RNAcentral's name for it is "tRNA.Ala". The record is from RNAcentral. Lineage: Eukaryota; Metazoa; Chordata; Mammalia; Rodentia; Sciuridae.